Non-coding RNA from Coffea arabica (coffee), 240 nucleotides. NCBI's taxonomy places the organism in Eukaryota, Viridiplantae, Streptophyta, Magnoliopsida, Gentianales, Rubiaceae. The record is from RefSeq and is a predicted model, not a curated record.
GUUCAGAGUAGAAGCUGAUAAAAAAGAAACCACGAUCGACGAUGUUACACUUUUGUCGCUAUCGGGUGUGGAAAUUUUUGGUGCUUUUGUUGUGCUACGUUCUCCUUCACUGAGUGAUAGAACUGGAGUUCUUAAUGCUACAUCAUCAGUGAAAGAAACUCUGCAAGCAGCUGGAAUAAAGGUCAAGGUUGAUGACUCUGAUCAGAGAACACCUGGAUGGAAAUAUAACUUUUAGGAGAU